UGAGUUGUGGUUAGGGGUGAAAUACCAAUCGAAUUCGGAGCUAGCUGGUUCUCCCCGAAAUGUGUUUAGGCGCAGCGGUUAAUAUUAUAGCUUAGAGGUAAAGCACUGUUUCGGUGCGGGCCGCGAGAGCGGUACCAAAUCGAGGCAAACUCUGAAUACUAAGUGAACAGUUAACCAGUAAGACUGUGGGGGAUAAGCUUCAUAGUCAAGAGGGAAACAGCCCAGAUCACCAGUUAAGGCCCCUAAAUAAUUAUUAAGUGGUAAAGGAGGUGGGAAGACUCAGACAGCCAGGAGGUUUGCUUAGAAGCAGCAAUCCUUUAAAGAGUGCGUAAUAGCUCACUGGUCUAGUAAUCCUGCGCCGAAAAUGAACGGGACUUAAAUAAUUUGCCGAAGCUGUGAGAUAUUUAUUACAAGUAAAUAUCGGUAGGGGAGCGUUCUGUUGUAGGUUGAAGCAUUAACGUAAGUGGGUGUGGACGAAGCAGAAGUGAGAAUGUCGGCUUGAGUAGCGAAAACAUUGGUGAGAAUCCAAUGCCCCGAAAACCUAAGGUUUCCCCCGGAAGGCUCGUCCGCGGGGGGUGAGUCAGGACCUAAGGCGAGGUCGAAAGACGUAGUCGAUGGACAAUAGGUUAAUAUUCCUAUACCGUUUUUUAUUGGCAACGAGGGACGAAGAAGGCUAAACUUAUCCAGAUAGUGGUCACUGGUCCAAGCAUUCAAGGUUAUGAGAAAUAGUGAAAAUAUUUUGAGCUGAGAUGUGAUGGGGAGAUACUUAGUAUUGAAGUAGUUGAUGUCAUGCUUCCAAGAAAAGCUUGCACUGUCAUAAAUAGAAAACGCCUGUACCCUAAACCGACACAGGUAGGUAGGUAGAGUAUACUAAGGGGCGCGAGAUAACUCUCUCUAAGGAACUCGGCAAAAUAACCCCGUAACUUUGGGAGAAGGGGUACCCUAUGGGUUGCAAUAACAAGGUCCAAGCGACUGUUUAUCAAAAACACAGGUCUCCGCGAAGUCGAAAGACAAUGUAUGGGGGCUGACGCCUGCCCAGUGCCGGAAGGUUAAAGAAGCUGGUUAGCAGUAGCGAAGCUAGUGACUGAAGCCCCGGUGAACGGCGGCCGU
Molecule: ribosomal RNA, 1110 nt
Filed under: uncultured Micromonas
Lineage: Eukaryota; Viridiplantae; Chlorophyta; Mamiellophyceae; Mamiellales
Description: partial Bacterial large subunit ribosomal RNA
Rfam family: Bacterial large subunit ribosomal RNA
Source: RNAcentral